GGGGGCGACUGGCUUCGACGGGUCGCGUGAUGCUGUCGUUGCGUGUCCAGGUUCCUGGUGCCCUGGUUAAACACGCCGGGAAAAUACACAAUUGCCAAUUCUGAUCUGGCAUUGGCUGCUUAAGCGUAAAGCUUAACGCACCUGCCCUUGUGGCAGCCCGCCUGAGGCGGCGCGAGGGUAUCGGAAAGUCAGGCUGCGGUUUCACGUUGCUUCCGCGUGAAGCUCAAGUUUUUGGAAGAUUGUCCGUCGAUUUGGGCUGGUUGUGCGCCGUUCGGCGGAGACCUCAAGCACGACCUACGCACGUAGAGCGACUGUGGAUCGUGGUUCGGACCGGGGU
RNAcentral lists this transfer-messenger RNA (337 nucleotides) under Actinomycetota bacterium. RNAcentral describes it as "Actinobacteria bacterium partial transfer-messenger RNA". It matches the Rfam family "transfer-messenger RNA". From Rfam's summary of the family: Bacterial tmRNA, also known as 10Sa RNA or SsrA, is named for its dual tRNA and mRNA-like properties. Lineage: Bacteria; Bacillati; Actinomycetota. The record is from RNAcentral.